GGCUUGCAUGUACAAUGCUGAUGGCACAUCUGCAUAUACAAUGCUGAUGGCACCUCUGCAUAUACAAUGCUGAUGGCACAUAAGGAAAAAAGUACCACAUAUCCAUGGGUGUGGUCAAACUAAUACUUCAAAGGUUUAUAUCUUCAAAGGUUAAAACUUGAGGAGUGUCAUUCAAAUAUAAACACACAAUCUUGCGCAUUACACCGUCAACCGCAAUUCGACCUCCACUUUUAUUCUCUUAUACUAAAGCCUGUAUUGAAUAAUAUUAAAUAAUUUAACUAACCCUUAAAAAAGAAUCACAGGUUUUGUAAAUUUGCUUAUCCAUAAGCCGUAGUUAGGCUUUGCCUAUAUUUUCCUAAACUUUCAAAUUGUUAAAAUAAAUUUACCCUUGUAAAAAAUGCAUUACACACCCCAGAUUUAUAUGGUUAUCCUCUAAUUUAACACUAGUUUCAAAGUGUGAGUUCAAUGCAUAUUUUGAGCAUGCGCGCCCCACAAAUAGGAGAAGUUUCUGCUUAACUGCAUACUUAAGUCGCGCAUGGUUAAGAACUAAGUGAAGGUCCAGUGAGGUAGCAGACCUCUUGUCCUCCUAGCAGCAAA
Ciona intestinalis (vase tunicate) is the source of this 597-nucleotide non-coding RNA. The record is from RefSeq and is a predicted model, not a curated record. NCBI's taxonomy places the organism in Eukaryota, Metazoa, Chordata, Ascidiacea, Phlebobranchia, Cionidae.